CGGUAAUUCCAGCUCCACUGGCGUAUAUUAACGUUGCUGCAGUUAAAGAGCUCGUAGUUGGAUGUGUGGAGGCCGGGAGGCGGCGAGGCCAAGCGUUUCGCAAGCAGACCGGCAGCCAUUAGCCUUUCAAGAUUUGCGGGCAUUGAGUUGUCUGCUGAUUGUCGAGAGGCCAUUUACUGUGAGAAAAGGAGAGUGUUCAAAGCGGGCGAAAGCUGGAAUACAUUAGCGUGGGAUGAUGAGAUAGAACAGAGGUUUUAUUUCGUUGGUUUAUGAGCCUUUGUGAUGAUAUAGAGGGGCAGUUGGGGGUAUUCAUACUUGCCAGUCAGAGGUGAAAUUCUUGGAUUUGGCAAAGAUGGACUGGUGCGAAAGCAUUUACCAAGGAUGUUCUCGCUAAUCAAGAACGAAAGUUAGGGGAUCGAAGAGGAUUAGAUACCCUCGUAGUCCUAACCGUAAACGAUGCCGACUCGGGAUUGGGCACUGUUGUUUGAGACGUGCUCAGGACCGUUCGAGAAAUCAAAGUCUUUGGGUUCCGGGGGGAGUAUGGUCGCAAGGCUGAAACUUAAAGGAAUUGACGGAAGGGCACCACCAGGAGUGGAGCCUGCGGCUUAAUUUGACUCAACACGGGGAAACUUACCAGGUCCGGACAUGAGAAGGAUUGACAGAUUGAGAGUUCUUUCUUGAUUUCAUGGGUGGUGGUGCAUGGCCGUUCUUAGUUGGUGGAGCGAUUUGUCUGGUUAAUUCCGUUAACGAACGAGACCUCCGCCUGCUAAAUAGGUGCUGCAAUUCUGAGAUUGUAGCAGCUUCUUAGAGGGACUUUGGGCGUUUAGCCCGAGGAAGUUGGAGGCAAUAACGGGUCUGUGAUGCCCUUAGAUGUCCUGGGCUGCACGCGCGCUACACUGAUGCGUUCAGAGAGCGAUCCUUGGCUGACAAGUCACGGGAAAUCUCGAAAGCGUAUCGUGAUGGGGAUAGAUGAUUGGAAUUAUUCAUCUUGAACGAGGAAUUCCUAGUAAACGCGAGUCAUCAGCUCGCAUUGAUUACGUCCCUGCUCCUUGUACACGCCGCCC
Molecule: ribosomal RNA, 1064 nt
Filed under: uncultured eukaryote
Lineage: Eukaryota
Description: SSU rRNA
Rfam family: Eukaryotic small subunit ribosomal RNA
Source: RNAcentral